This 27-nucleotide non-coding RNA is filed under the name Mus musculus (house mouse). The record is from RNAcentral. Lineage: Eukaryota; Metazoa; Chordata; Mammalia; Rodentia; Muridae.
UCAUGAGUUCCACUAUAGGCUUCUACC